This 1496-nucleotide long non-coding RNA is filed under the name Oncorhynchus kisutch (coho salmon). RNAcentral's name for it is "lncRNA (ENSOKIG00005014772.1)". The record is from RNAcentral. Lineage: Eukaryota; Metazoa; Chordata; Actinopteri; Salmoniformes; Salmonidae.
AUAUUAAAUUAACAUGAGUUUAUGUUUAGAUUUCUAUGAUUUUUAUCAAUAUCCCAUAUAACAGGCAUAUGGUAUUUGUGGGGUUUCAAAUCUCUCUCUCUCUCUCUCUCUCUCUCUCUCUCUCUCUCUCUCUCUCUCUCUCUCUCUCUCUCUCUCUCUUUCUCUCUCCGUCUGUCUGUGUUCUUGUUUGGAAGAACUAUUUGGAAGAAAUUCAAGAUUUCAAGGACGCACGGAUUUGAAUUUAACUGGAGAGGCUGAGAGCUGAGGGGAAGAGUGACAUAAAGAGGAGAGAAGUUCAUUAUCCAGCUGAAAAGGAAACCAAUGGCUUUCACAGUCUCCAUGGGAACCAGCCUUUCUUUUGCUGUCAAACCUAUGAUAAGAAACCCUCUCCUUUCUCCCACUCCAAGGCAGCCCUUUUCAAACCGGGAAGCUCCAGGUCAGUUUCCCUUUCCAAGUUUUACGGCCUGCCAUGUUGUCCAUUCUGCUCAGCUAUUUAAAAAAUGUUGAAUAUCAACAAUGGCUUUCACUGGUGUAUUGUCAACUUUUGUAUGAAGCAAUCUUGGCUGAAUGAGAUGGGUCCCAGAGCAGGGAGGGCUUGGCUGCGGCAUGCACCGCAACACCACUGGCGCCUGCCUGGCUCUCUCUCUCUCUCUCUCUCUCUCUCUCUCUGCUGCAGGCAGGAUCAGGGAGGCAGGAGCAGCCGUCCCUCUAGUCCCUGUCUCAGCCCAGCCGCUGGGGUCUGGAUGGGGCUGGGAAAGCCACCCCCUCGUCAGUCCUCUCUGCAAACUCAUCCUCAUCUCAGGUUCCCCUCCCCCUGCCUCUGGCCCUGUCGUCUGGGAGCCCCUGAAGGUGUGACACCUCACACAGGAAUCGGAGAGCAGGAGCCCGGGGGCCAGUCAGAGCUGGGGGCAGCUGGUCCCAGGGGAGCAGUUCCCCUUCCAGGAGCGACAGCAGCACCUCUCCCACCCUCCUCACCUCAACACAGCAUCACAGGCCUGGAAGAACCAGUUCAAUCACCAUCUAGAUCACAAUCACCAUUGACUACGGGUCAUUCUUGAAUUGAAUAGGCAUUUCAUUUUUCUAGAAUAAAAAAAAAUAUAUAUUUGGUUACUUCUUCCCAUUCCAAAUGAACUAAUGACAGCUUAGUUACUUUAAAAAGUCUUUAUCAUUAUGAUAAUAUCAGUGCCACCAGUAGGUGUAGUAACACCAAUGACAGUAACACCAAUGAUAAAUUGGUAAUUGAGGAUUUCCUUAAAUGGAGGCCACAUAUGCUCAAAUCUAAGGUCAUUAACACUUUAAAGAUAAUUUACAAAAGUUGUGAUUAAUCAUUUUGCUCACAAUUUAAUUUCCCUUCAUUUUAAUUGGGUUACACCAAUUACACUUUUUACUUAGAGACACCAAAUUAUCAAUGGACUCCUCAAAUGUAUGACAUACUAAAAGGGUGUAAAAAGCUAAUAAUUUUCUUUAAAGACCCGAUAACGGUUUGCCACUGCAGG